CUAUCCAUCCACUUAGAUAGCUUUCUGUUAACUAUUCUCAAAAAUGCCUUUUUAGUUUCAGUGUAUUGGUUUUGCAUGUAAUCCCUAGUAUUAUCUGAGUAUUUCUUACAGCAUAAUCUAAUUUCACUUUACAUAGGCAUAUUGAUUCAACCUGGCUAGAAUUAACUAAUAUCAGGCUUGAGUAUACUGUAGGAUGGAUUCUGCUGUCGUGCUUUUCCAGAGCAGUGCUUUAUCAAAGAAGAGUGCAUUAAGCUGGCUGGCCACAGGUAACACGGCUUUCCCUUAUUUCAUUCUUAAAACUCAUCUAUUUCCAUGUUCUGUGCUAUUUUUUGACAUAAGAGACUUACUUUAUUGAAGUUUCUACUCUUGUUUGUUUGUUUUUUUUUCCUUUUACCAGUGGCUACUGAAGUUGAAUUUGGAAAACUUUUUAUUAAGUUUGGCAAGACAAGCUGGAAAAUGUUUAUAUAAGUUUACAAAUCCAUUUUAUCAGUUAACACUUCAAAACAGUAACAUGCUAAUUUAUCCUUAGUACAUACAGAUCACAAAAAAUACACACAGAUACAUAAUUUAUAUUUAUUCAAUAAUCUUCUAUUAUGGAAACACUUAUUCUUAUUUCAAAUUAUGUGUUUAAUAUAUAUGCAUUUGCAUGUAAGUGUUUCUAAGAAUUUAAGCUGUUAUUUCUAAAUGUCUUUACUCUUAAGUUUCCACUCUGCAAAGGAUUGGGACUCAGUACUAAGAAAAAGUGUAAGUCUUCCUCUGUACUUGUGAUGUGCUGAGCUGUGUCCGCCCAGAAUUCAUAUGUUGAAGACCUAACCUCCAGUACCUCAGAAUGUGACUGAAUUUAGAACAGGUCCUUUAAAGCGGUAAUUAAGGUAAAAUGAAAUCAUAUGGGUGAGACCUAAUUCAAUGUGAUUGAUGUUCUCGUGAGAAGAGAUUGAGACGGACACAAAGGGAAGACCACAUGAAGACUGAUGAUAGUCAUCUGCAAGCUAAGGGGAGAGUCCUCAGAAGAAACCUACUCUGCCAGCACCUCAGUCUGACUUUGAGACUCCAGAAUUGUGAGACAAUGAAUUUCUGCUCUUUAAGCCACCUCCUCUGUGGAAUUUUGUUGUGGCAGCUCUAGCAAACUAAAUACAAACCAAAUAUGUUGAACCUUAGAUUUUCUUUCUACCCUAAAAAGUUAAGUGCAGUGAUGCAUUUUACGUUUCUACACUGAAUAAUUGAGUAAGUAACUUUAAGGUACACAAAGUGUUCAUUUGAUGCAUUUAUAUAUUGCAGCAUGAUUGCAGCUGUAGCAUUAGCUAACACCUCCAUCAUGUCACAUACUUAUUAUUUUGUUUUGUGAUGAGAACAUUUACGAUGCAGUCUCUUAAGAACUUUGCAGUAUAUACUACAGAAUUGUUGAAUCCCCGUGCUGUGCAUUGAUCUCUGGAACUUCUUCAUCUUCUAACUGCAGAGGAUUUUUCACUGAUCUGUUGUAAUUCUCAGAAGUCAUGUAAGUGCAUCAGUCAACAAUUGAGCAAAAUUCUGGAUCAUUAGCCUUUUAGGGAGAAAGGUGUCAAUGUCUUUAGGUAAGUCCAUUGUUGUGGAUACUGAUGAUUGAAGGAAAGAUGGAAGCAGUAAUGAUAACCUAUGAUAUUGAGAUUGUAUCAAAGAAAUCUGAUUCCGUGGACAGGGAGCCUCUAAUGAUGGCUGGGAUCUUCAUGGUCCUGAGCCCCAAAUAUUCACGUGUUCAGCAGUUAUUGCCAUGCCAGAUGCCAGACACAGGCCAAAAUUGUACGGAAGCCCAGGUGUUCCCCCUCUAGUACCUGCAGGAGUCAGAACACCCAAUCGCCUGCCUCCCUACGGGAGUCGUCACUCGGGCCCGCCCUCUAACCACAGUAAAAGCCCCAACCCAGUCUGCUUUCCUGGUUCUCUCCAGCCACCCCGGACCUGCUUGAGGCUGUUCUGCUCAUCCCAGAGAUCUCAGUUAAGUUUUUACCAACAUACCUUAGUGGACCACCUUGCAGAGUCAAUUAAAUCACAGCAUAUUGCCUGAGAGCUGCAUCUCACGAGCUGCUUAUGCUCAGGUGCAGCUCUUUAGUCAUAUAGCUGAUAAAGUCAAUUUCAUGAUGCUAUUCUCACCUUUACUUGGGCACGUGUUGCCCAGGAGAUGGACAUUAACAUUAAAAUGAAGUAAAUGCAAGAAUAAACAAAU
Molecule: non-coding RNA, 2197 nt
Organism: Vicugna pacos (alpaca)
Lineage: Eukaryota; Metazoa; Chordata; Mammalia; Artiodactyla; Camelidae
Source: RefSeq, a predicted model, not a curated record